UACGUAGGGUGCAAGCGUUAAUCGGAAUUACUGGGCGUAAAGCGUGCGCAGGCGGCUAUGCAAGACAGAUGUGAAAUCCCCGGGCUCAACCUGGGAACUGCAUCUGUGACUGCAUGGCUAGAGUACGGCAGAGGGGGAUGGAAUUCCGCGUGUAGCAGUGAAAUGCGUAGAUAUGCGGAGGAACACCGAUGGCGAAGGCAAUCCCCUGGGCCUGUACUGACGCUCAUGCACGAAAGCGUGGGGAGCAAACAGG
RNAcentral lists this ribosomal RNA (253 nucleotides) under uncultured bacterium. Its description in RNAcentral is "partial 16S ribosomal RNA". It matches the Rfam family "Bacterial small subunit ribosomal RNA", at positions 524 to 776 of the family's 1533-position model. The record is from RNAcentral.